GAUGAACGCUGGCGGCGUGCUUAACACAUGCAAGUCGAACGGUGAAAGAGAGCUUGCUCUCUGGAUCAGUGGCGAACGGGUGAGUAACACGUGAGCAAUCUGCCCUUGACUCUGGGAUAAGCGCUGGAAACGGCGUCUAAUACUGGAUACGAGCUGCGAAGGCAUCUUCAGCAGCUGGAAAGAACUUCGGUCAAGGAUGAGCUCGCGGCCUAUCAGCUUGUUGGUGAGGUAAUGGCUCACCAAGGCGUCGACGGGUAGCCGGCCUGAGAGGGUGACCGGCCACACUGGGACGGAGACACGGCCCAGACUCCUACGGGAGGCAGCAGUGGGGAAUAUUGCACAAUGGGCGCAAGCCCGAUGCAGCAACGCCGCGUGAGGGGCAACGGCCUUCGGGUUGUAAACCUCUUUUAGCAGGGAAGAAGCGAAAGUGACGGUACCUGCAGAAAAAGCACCGGCUAACUACGUGCCAGCCGCCGCGGUAA
This 482-nucleotide ribosomal RNA is filed under the name uncultured bacterium. RNAcentral describes it as "partial 16S ribosomal RNA". It matches the Rfam family "Bacterial small subunit ribosomal RNA", at positions 28 to 523 of the family's 1533-position model. The record is from RNAcentral.